GCAGUCGAGCGGACAGAUGGGAGCUUGCUCCCUGAUGUUAGCGGCGGACGGGUGAGUAACACGUGGGUAACCUGCCUGUAAGACUGGGAUAACUCCGGGAAACCGGGGCUAAUACCGGAUGGUUGUUUGAACCGCAUGGUUCAAACAUAAAAGGUGGCUUCGGCUACCACUUACAGAUGGACCCGCGGCGCAUUAGCUAGUUGGUGAGGUAACGGCUCACCAAGGCAACGAUGCGUAGCCGACCUGAGAGGGUGAUCGGCCACACUGGUACUGAAACACCCCCCAAACUCCUACGUGAGGCAGCAGUAGGGAAUCUUCCGCACGGAACAAAAGUCUGACGAACAAACCCCGCGUGAGUGAUGAAGGUUUUCGAAUCCAAAACUUUUUUGGUUGGGGAGAAAAAAUAACCGUUGAAAAAGGGGGGUCCCUUCCCGGAACGUAAACCGAAAACCCACGGCAAAUUCCAUGCCAUCCACCCGCCGUAAUACGUAUGUGGCAAGCGUUGUCAAGAAAUAUUGGGCGUAAAGGGCGUGGCAGGGGGUUUCUUAAAUUCUGAUGUGAAAACCCCCGGCUCAACCGGGGAGGGUCAUUGGAAACUGGGGGAAUUUGAGUGCACAAUAAGAGGGGUGGAAC
RNAcentral lists this ribosomal RNA (633 nucleotides) under Bacillus sp. (in: firmicutes). RNAcentral's name for it is "bacterial SSU rRNA". It matches the Rfam family "Bacterial small subunit ribosomal RNA", at positions 57 to 667 of the family's 1533-position model. The record is from RNAcentral. Lineage: Bacteria; Bacillati; Bacillota; Bacilli; Caryophanales; Bacillaceae.